RNAcentral lists this transfer RNA (60 nucleotides) under Carettochelys insculpta (pitted-shelled turtle). Its description in RNAcentral is "tRNA-Ser". The record is from RNAcentral. Lineage: Eukaryota; Metazoa; Chordata; Testudines; Carettochelyidae.
GAGAAUGAUCAAGUCGAACUGCUAAUUCCACUAACUAAGAAUAACACCUUAGCCUUCUCA